GGUCUUCGAGUCUCACUCCAACCCAUGUGAACAUACCUCUCGUUGCCUCGGCAGGCGGCCGUCCUACCCCUCGUAGGUAGGCGAAACCUGCCGACGGCCCCCGAAACUCUGUUUAUUAUAGCAUUAGACCUCUGAAAAAAGAUAACUAAAUCAGUUAAAACUUUCAACAACGGAUCUCUUGGUUCUGGCAUCGAUGAAGAACGCAGCGAAAUGCGAUAAGUAAUGUGAAUUGCAGAAUUCAGUGAAUCAUCGAAUCUUUGAACGCACAUUGCGCCCACCAGUAUUCUGGUGGGCAUGCCUGUUCGAGCGUCAUUUCAACCCUUAAGCCCUGGUUGCUUAGCGUUGGGAGCCUACCGGACCCCGUCCCGUAGCUCCCCAAAGUCAGUGGCGGAGCCGGUUUAACACUCCAGACGUAGUAGCUUUUACACAUCGCCUGUAGCCUAAGCCCGGCGCCCUGCCGUAAAACACCCCCCAAUGUAUAGGUUGACCUCGGAUCAGGUAGGAAUACCCGCUGAACUUAAGCAUAUCAAUAAGCGGAGGAAA
Molecule: ribosomal RNA, 543 nt
Filed under: Nemania sp.
Lineage: Eukaryota; Fungi; Ascomycota; Sordariomycetes; Xylariales; Xylariaceae
Description: eukaryotic LSU rRNA
Rfam family: 5.8S ribosomal RNA (bases 159-312)
Source: RNAcentral